UUUGAUUGAAAGAAACAGAAGUUUUCUAGAAUCGAAGUUUUGUUCAUUUAUCGAAAUUACUAGAGUACUGGAUUUCUUGUCAAGUACAAGGUUUUGUUUUCGAAAAUUAUUUGAUGUACUUUUUUUAUUUAAAGUGCUUCAAUCUACAUGAUUCAUUACCACUAUGAUUUAACUGAUUAUAGGUGUUUAAUUGCACUGAAGUUCAAAUACGAUAUUAUUUGUCCUGUUUUUAUAAUGAAUUUGUUUAUGGUUCUGGGUACUUUCUGGUUUAUUGAUUUUAACAGGGGAGAAAUUAAAUUGUUAGAAAUUAAAUACUGUCACGAGUAUUGGUCUCUCAUUGUUCAGGUUGCGGCAGAACCACAGAAUGCGGUCUGUGUUUUCCUUUUUCGUGUCAGCAAGGACCUAUGGUGUACUUGACAACCAAAAUUAUUCUUAUCCUUAGAUAGGUGGUUAUAAAUCAACAAGUUUUUACGUUUUUUCAAGUACAUGACACUCGAAGGGAGAAAUUCCUAGGGUGAAUUGGAUAGGAUAUUGUUUCGUAGAAAAACCUUUGACAUUGUUAUGAGAUAUCGUCAAGUGCGGUGAAGUUUAUAUUACUUCAGAAAAACGACAUACUCAUUUACAAUAAUGGAAUCACAGAUUACAAUAAUCAUACCCAAAUUUGGAUAUUACAAACUUCGUUCAACGUGAUGCAUGGGAAGCUCAAUUCAAGGAUUGGCAUCAUUUCAAGAAACAACCAUCAUUUGUACUCAUGGAAGUGCCUGUUUCAUGAGUACAAAGUCUUGAUUAAUUCAGGGAAAUGAAAAAUUUCUUAACUAUAAAUUAUAUUAGGUUUCAAAAAAUCAACUUUUUUAUUCUUGUGGUAAAUACAUGACUUGACUCCAAGCAGUCAACACAGUUAAGACAAGAUAGAACGAGGGAAACUGUGCUAUGAUGUUUCCGUCAUAUGGUCUCAUAUCGUUUGUCAUGUAGUCCGACUGGAAUCUCAGUCGAUGGCUCACCGCUCACUCAGACUCUAACUGAUUUUUUUUUAAUUGUAACUCUCUUUGAGUUAUCUGAUGCCUGAGAGUGGAUGGGCGGUAUUUUUGUUCAAUUUCAGAGUGAGUUCUGUGAUAUCCGGCGGCUUAUUCGGUGAGAGUGCCCGGCGCGAUACUAAAAGACCCGGGUUCCAUUCCCGGCUGGGUUAAAGGGGACAUUUUUUCUCUCUAAUUCUAAUUUUCUUCGUUUUUUUAUUGUCAUAAACGAUUUUACAAUUUUCAUGAUUGUGCAGAUCGGUCCACGUGUGAACAUGCAUAAAUUUUUCGAAAUGGGUAACAAUAAAUCGACGCAAACUAAUUUGGAUUGAUUCAGAAAGUAUUUCUGUGAUUUUAACUCGUUAUUCCUCUCAGUGUAGCUUUAGACGUAGUCUACGAAUUUAAUAAUUGACAGUUUCCAACAAAUGCCAUAUUUUAACAUGGUCCCAUGAAACCUCGUAUGUCUCAUCUAAUUUUCCAUCAAAUAAAAUGAACAUGCUCCUUCACUACAUUCUACCUCAUCUCUGUUGAACUAGUUCAUUAAUUUGCUCUUGAACUACUCAAUUAAUUAAUCCCAUCAAUUCAAUUACAGUAACUAGUUACGUUGAAUCCCUCGAUCUCCGCUUCUUCCCUAAUUAGAUCACCAGCAGAGAUCAGAACAAACAGUUAACAAGUAAAGUUUCCAUUGAGUCCCACAAAUUUCGUUUUUUUCCUUCUUUUUAAAGAGAGCUUGAACCGAAUGAGUAAGAAUAAUGGGGCCCCUCACCAAUUUAUUAUUUUGCUGAUUGCGUCUCAUAUAAAAAGAAACAUUUGGUAUCUCUCCUUCAUGGACUUUCUCAAGACGUGCCAUCCGCCAGUGGCGAUAAACCCAUUCGAAACCAAGAGAAACUGUGUAAACUAUUUAUAAGUGCCAGUCUCGAGGAUUUUUGUGGAUGUUUAAAUUUAGCCGGUCGAGUCUGUGAGAGCACCGGGUGUGUGCCCACGACACCGAGACGUAUUUUCCAAGACCCUCGACGGAUAUCAGACGUGGCGUACCAGCCCAUUUCGAUUUUCAUCGGGUAGUAUUUUAUAAAUAAUUUGUUUUUUUAUUUUCAUUUAACCGAACAUUUCUCAUGUCUGGAAAAAUGCAUGGUUGAAUGUUCGUGGUCGAUUUGUGGUGUUUGCGAUCGGUGUGUCUUGGACCAUUGCCAAAGUGACUAUCACUCUACGAUUUGAUACACGAAUGACUGAAUAAUCAUUAAAUUCACUUCAUAUUAAUUGAUCUAUCGAGUACUGACUUUGUUGUAUCAUUUUGUUGUCAACUCUCGGAGUGAAUUGGAGUGCAGUUUCUUUAUGUGUGUUGGGGGACUCCCAAAGUCGUAGUAAGUAGUGCAGUUCAUUGUGAUCAUUGUUACCAAGUGUAAAAAAAACAACCAUGAUGGAAGGAAUGCGGACGAAUGGAUGUGCUAAUGAACGACAAGACCUCGAUCCCAUCCUGGAGGAAGACGAUAAGAACCAUCCUAAAGACUCGCCGUCAGAGUCUUCUGAUGCCACAUCGACUGUGAAACGUUGGGACUGCCGUUGGACACCUUCGGAGGCGUACGACUCAGAUGGAACAUCUUCGACGUCUGAACAGGGAUUUACUGAGGAUUACUCCAGAGAAAUGACUGAUGGUCUUUCAGUAUCAUCCAUUAGACAUCAUGAUGCGUGUCGGUCGCAGGGGUGUCUCUGUCAGAACUGUUUACUGGGUUAUGCUAGAUCACUUGCCCUUCACCAGAACAUACCGAGCAUCUGCACAGCAGCGAGUAUUCCUCAUAUGCCUUCUCAUCCUCAAUUACCUGUUAAACACUGCAUCAACACAUCACUCGGGUACAAUUUUGAGGAUUCUUGCGAUUAUCGAAAUGUCAAUCAUCACUCGCAACAGCAACAAUUGGGGAAGAGUCAGCCAACGAUCAAGGAUCAGAUGUCCCGCAUCAGCUCAAAGACAUCCAGCACAGUAUCACUGUCAUUGGAUAGAAGACGAAGAAAACUGAGAAAUAGGAGUGAUAGAGAUCAAAGGGCUAGAUCACAGAGCGAUCUUCUUUACUGUGAUCAUGACAGGUCAAUGCCUCCACAUUACUGCUCGCUCCAGCAGUUUCAGUGUCAUUAUGGCAGUAAUCCUUACAUGAAUUACUACAAUAAUAAUACCGAGGAGAGAUUGAGGAAACUUGAGAAUGAAAGGGCCGGCCUACACAUGGAGGUAUCAGUAUUAUCUGAACAAGUAGAUGCACAAUCGAGUAAAAUUGUGGAACUCGAGAAUAUUCUUCAGGAGAAGAAGGAUGCUAUGAGACAAAUGGAGGAUGUUCUUCAAAAGGAGGUAUUAUCUCGAAGUGCUCUAGAAACUCAAAAGCUCGAACUUUUAACAUCUUUAUCAGAGAUGAAACUGCGGCAAGCCAGCUUGGAGCACGAAAAUGUGGCGCUUCGAACAGCAACCUCAAUCACAAACGGUGAAAAGUUCAGCAGACACGCGGGACAAUAUAGCAGCCUUCCAAGGCCUCCUACAUCAGUGAAGAAAGGCGUUGCUUUUGGUAAGGUUUCUCAUCAAAUAUCGGGUGCUCAAACUACGGUACCACUUGCAGUCAGAGGAAACUCAGCCAGAUGUUUAUCUGCGCCAGCUCUAGCUGAGGAAGAGAGAAUCGUGAUUUCUGAAGCAUUAGCUCGUGCCGAAGUGCCUCCUCCAAAGCCUUUGAACGACCUGUCAAUGGAGGAAGUGGAAGAGUGGUUAGCGAGACUGGGUCUAGAAGCUUAUGCACCUGAACUACGACGAUGGGGAGCUACGGGCGCUAAGCUACUCGAUGUUACAGUACAUCAAAUAGAAAAGGAGCUUGAUAUUAAGAACAGCCUUCAUAGAAAAAAAUUAUUGUAUGCUAUCGAGUGCGAGAGGUGCAAUGGAGUUGGAUUUCUGGGAUCUGAAAAGAUGGAUAAUGCAGCAGUUCUUCGUUGGCUCGAUGACGUUGGUCUACCCCAGCAUAAGGAAGCCUUUCAUAAUGCCAAAGUAGACGGUCGUGUUCUCCACAGACUAACCACUGAAGACUUAUUGACCCUCGGUGUAGCAGCUCAGCUUCAUGCAGCAAGUUUGCGUCGUGGAAUACAAGUGCUUCGAGAAUUGAAUUUUGAAUUUGACAAUUUAGAGAGGAGAUCAAUUAGUGGUAAUGGAGCUGAUGGCAGUAAUGUUGCAUUGUGGACCAAUCACAGAGUGAUGGAGUGGUUGAGGGUCGUCGACCUUGCUGAGUAUGCCCCUAAUAUGAGGGGAUCUGGGGUCCACGGGGGACUGAUCAUUCAUGAGGGAAGAUUUACCUCUGAACUCUUGGCCACGCUCCUCAGCAUUCCACCGGCUAAGACAUUAUUGCGUAGACAUUUAACCACUCAUUUUAAUCAAAUUCUUGGGAGGGAAGUUGUACAGCAUAAAAGGGAGAUGGAGACCACUCUUGGAUUUGUGCCAUUGACACUGACAGCUCGAUUGAAGGUACCAAAGAAAUCUCAAUUCACCCUAAAACGAAAAAAAAGCAAGAGUGAGAUUGAUUAUGGCAAUUUGGUAUGUCCCUUGGAACCAUCACCACCAGGUACACCAUCGACACCCUCAUCAACUCCAGGAAGCCCUAAUCUCAACUCACCCACAAUCUAACAAUAAUUAUUCACGCCAUUUAUCAGCUAGACGAAUUUCAUCUCAAACGAACUAACUCCAUUUAGAAAUAGUGGAGCACAGGAAAAUCAUUGGCUGCAUAUAAGAGUUAUCUGAAUACAAUGAAGUAGGAAAUACUGAAAUUACUCGAAUUUAUUCCUAUUCAGUGCACAAUAGGAGAUCGUAGACUUUUUCUUAGACAUAUGGGACCAUAUUAUUGGCAAAGCAAAAUUAAAUAGUGAACUAGUGUUUCUCGAUCGAUGAAUCUUUUUACUGAAUCAUAAAUUGAAUAUAUAAAAGUUCUUGGGAUAUGAUAAUCAGUUACCAAUAUACAAUAUUCAUUUUGUGCGUGACAAUAUAUAGUAAUUGAAAGGCCAAUAAGAUUCACACACAAUUCAUUGCCUAAAAUGUUUGACUGACCUCAAAUAAUUUCAAUGUAGAAGUGUGUGUUUUUAAUACCUAUAUAGACAUAAAUUCAUUGUAGAUGUUUAUUACAAUCAUGAGUGCCUACAAGAGUGUAUUUUAGUUUAUUACAUUCGACAAUACUAAUUAUUUUAAUUAGUUUUCGUUAAUUUUUUGACGACGAUAUGAGAUAAUUACUCCCUUUUCAACGUUUAAGAAAAUCAAAGAGAAGAAUUUAUUAUUUUUUAGCUUUUUUGUGUUUAUCCCAUUGAGAGAUGUAAAAAUUCAUUACUUUAAUUUAGUUUUCUUUUAUAUAUAUUUUGCAAAAGAAACUCUUCAGUCAUUGUCAAUCAAAUGUAUUGCUCGCUUUCAAAAUAUAUCGUUGGAAAUUGUAAA
Molecule: RNA transcript, 5451 nt
Organism: Diachasmimorpha longicaudata
Lineage: Eukaryota; Metazoa; Arthropoda; Insecta; Hymenoptera; Braconidae
Gene: Liprin-beta
Gene name: liprin-beta-1
Exons: 11
Source: RefSeq, a predicted model, not a curated record